UGAGCAAUCUGCCCUUCUCAUCGGAAUAAGCGUUGGAAACGACGUCUAAUGCCGAAUACGACCUCCUUUCGCAUGAUCGGAGGUGGAAAGCUCCGGCGGAGAAGGAUGAGCUCGCGGCCUAUCAGCUAGUUGGUGUGGGUAAUGGCCCACCAAGGCGACGACGGGUAGCCGUCCUGAGAGGGUGACCGGCCACACUGGGACUGAGACACGGCCCAGACCUCCUACGGGAGCAG
RNAcentral lists this ribosomal RNA (233 nucleotides) under uncultured bacterium. Its description in RNAcentral is "partial 16S ribosomal RNA". It matches the Rfam family "Bacterial small subunit ribosomal RNA", at positions 118 to 347 of the family's 1533-position model. The record is from RNAcentral.